GCAAGUCGAACGGUAACAUUUCUAGCUUGCUAGAAGAUGACGAGUGGCGGACGGGUGAGUAACGCGUAGGAAUCUGCCUAGUAGUGGGGGACAACAUGUGGAAACGCAUGCUAAUACCGCAUACGCCCUACGGGGGAAAGGAGGGGAUCUUCGGACCUUUCGCUAUUAGAUGAGCCUGCGUGAGAUUAGCUAGUUGGUGGGGUAAAGGCCUACCAAGGCGACGAUCUCUAGCUGGUCUGAGAGGAUGAUCAGCCACACUGGGACUGAGACACGGCCCAGACUCCUACGGGAGGCAGCAGUGGGGAAUAUUGGACAAUGGGCGCAAGCCUGAUCCAGCCAUGCCGCGUGUGUGAAGAAGGCCUUAGGGUUGUAAAGCACUUUCAGGAGUGAGGAAGGGCGUGCAGUUAAUACCUGUAUGUCUUGACGUUAACUCCAGAAGAAGCGCCGGCUAACUCUGUGCCAGUAGCCGCGGUAAUACAGAGGGUGCGAGCGUUAAUCGGAAUUACUGGGCGUAAAGCGCGCGUAGGCGGUUUGUUAAGUCGGAUGUGAAAUCCCAGGGCUCAACCUUGGAAUGGCACCCGAUACUGGCAGGCU
Molecule: ribosomal RNA, 594 nt
Filed under: uncultured bacterium
Lineage: Bacteria
Description: bacterial SSU rRNA
Rfam family: Bacterial small subunit ribosomal RNA
Source: RNAcentral